RNAcentral lists this ribosomal RNA (882 nucleotides) under Triticum aestivum (bread wheat). RNAcentral's name for it is "partial small subunit ribosomal RNA". Lineage: Eukaryota; Viridiplantae; Streptophyta; Magnoliopsida; Poales; Poaceae. The record is from RNAcentral.
CUGGGCUUCUCUGGUCCCAAGUUUACUUGGUGCAAUCGUCAAGAUCCAAAUGGCCAUGUCAAAGUUCGCCUAGACAGGGCUAUUGUGAACACUGCUUUUACUGACUGUUUUAAUGGGUGUCACAUGCAAAAUAUCAUUGCUACCUCAUCUGACCAUUAUGCCAUCCGUGUUGGGCUAUCUUGCUUUACGCAGGAAUGUGAACGACGCCCGAUGCAGCAAGGUUUCAAGUUUGAGGCCAUGUGGCUGCGCGCCACCGAUUACAAGGAAACUAUGGAGAAAGCUUGGGCUGAUGGUAGAAAUGGUGAGAUUACUCUUCAGUCCACAUGGGAUAAUCUACACAAAGUGGAGGCAUCUUUGAAAACCUGGAGCCGUGAUUGUUUUGGGUCUGUUCGUAAACAAAAUUUUAAACUAGAAAGACGUUCGUGGUCAAUUCGGGCUGCCCCAAUCACAGCUGCAAGUGUAACUGAGGAACAUGCUUUAGAGAAACAUUUAUGUGAGCUUUUUGAACGGGAAGAAAUAAUGGAGCGUCAACGCUCUAGGAUUGACAGGCUCAAGGAAGGUGACCGUAAUACCUUUUUCCAAGCACGUGCCAAGGCUCGUAGGCGCAUCAAUAGAAUUCAUUCUCUUCAGCGAGAUGAUGGAUCAAUAUGUGAGUCAGAAGAUGGGAUAAAAAAUAUGGUGCAACAAUUUUAUGAUGAGCUUUUUACUUCUCAACCUUGUGAUACUUCUGCAGUUCUUGAUGCUAUUUCUCCUAAAGUUUCUCCAGAAAUGAAUGAUGAUUUGUGUAAACCCUAUUCUAAUGAGGAGAUCAAGACUGCUUUAUUCCAGAUGGGGCCUACCAAGGCGCCGGGACCGGAUGAUUUUCCGGCAUUGUUUUACUAG